CCCUAUGGGGUGCAGCAGUCGGGAAAACUCCGCAAUGCACGAAAGUGUGACGGGAGGAUUCAGAGUGCUCAGGCAAAAGCCUGGGCUUUUGCCAAAGGUAAAGACUUUGGCGAAUAAGUGGUGGGCAAGACUGGUGCCAGCCGCCGCGGUAACACCAGCGCCACGAGUGGGAACCGCCUUUAUUGGGUCUAAAGCAUCCGUAGCCUGCUCGACAAAUGCCUUGUGAAAUCGUGGUGCUCAACAUCACGACGUGCAAGGUAGACUAUCGAGCUUGGGACUGGAAGAGGUUGACGGUAUUCAAGGGGGAGCGGUAAAAUGUUAUAAUCCCUUGAGGACCACCGAUGGCGAAGGCAGUCAACCAGUACAGAUCCGACGGUGAGGGAUGAAAGCUAGGGGAGCGAUCCGGAUUAGAUACCCGAGUAGUCCUAGCCGUAAACGCUGCGUGCCAGAUGUUGCAUCAUCUUCGAGAUGAUGCAGUGUCGUAAUGAAGAUGUUAAGCACGCCACCUGGGGAGUACGGUCGCAAGUCUGAAACUUAAAGGAAUUGGCGGGGGAGCACUACAAGGCGUGCGGCGUGCGGUUUAAUUCAAUUCAACGCGGGAAACCUCACCAGUGGCGACGGCAGAAUGAAGGUCAGUCUAAAGGGCUUACCUAACGAGCCGAGAGGAGGUGCAUGG
RNAcentral lists this ribosomal RNA (676 nucleotides) under uncultured archaeon. Its description in RNAcentral is "bacterial SSU rRNA". It matches the Rfam family "Archaeal small subunit ribosomal RNA", at positions 321 to 997 of the family's 1478-position model. The record is from RNAcentral.